Molecule: ribosomal RNA, 254 nt
Filed under: uncultured bacterium
Lineage: Bacteria
Description: partial 16S ribosomal RNA
Rfam family: Bacterial small subunit ribosomal RNA
Source: RNAcentral
UACAGAGGUCUCGAGCGUUGUUCGGAUUCAUUGGGCGUAAAGGGUGCGUAGGUGGCGUGGUAAGUCUGGUGUGAAAUCCCGGGGCUCAACCCCCGGAACUGCACUGGAUACUGCCAUGCUUGAGUACUGGAGAGGAGAUUGGAAUUUACGGUGUAGCAGUGAAAUGCGUAGAUAUCAGGAGGAACACCGGUGGCGAAGGCGGGUCUCUGGGCCGAUACUGACGCUGAGGAGCGAAAGCAUGGGGAGCGAACAGG